GUUAGAUUUGCCUCAUUUUCAUCCGUGUUAAAUUUAGUAUAGUGUCUAAUCUGAUUGAAGGUCUUUUGACUCAUAUUUAAAUGUGACUGCCACCUCUGAAACUCCACAGUGUGUACAAUAUGUGGCCAAACUACCAGUGAUCUGACAUUCAAUGAAGGAGCCAUGAAACACAUUCUGAGUGGUUUAUUGACUCUAUGUUACAAAAUGCACUCAUCUAGUUCCACAGAGAAGCAUGGGAUAGGCACACAGAGCACUAGAUCUGUCCAGCCAGCUCUUCCCAAUCCCAUUACUAAAGCCUUCUUCACUCUCUACACAUGCAGCUGUCAGGCUCUCACGCUGCUCACAAGAAAUGUUGCAUCAUCAGAACGUCAAUGGGAAACUUCAAAUACAGCAUGACAUAGUAUUGUUUUCAGAAAUGGACUAAAAAAGGAUCACAAUCCUAUACUGUAACUCAAGUACAAUGAAAUCAGACAGAAAGUACAGGUUGUUUGGGAUGAGUGUUAACAAAGAAAGGCACUGAUUUCUAGAGUAGGGAAAAGCUCAUGCACUCUUCUCCUGGAUAAGCUCAUGUGAAUCAGGCAUGCAGAUAAACAUUAUUUGCAUAAUCUGAAUGAAUAAACAAAAAAAGAUCUUAAAAUAAAACAGCGGGCAGAUGCAACAAAAUGCUUGUUUAUACUUUAUGAAAUAUCUACACACAUUUGAAAUACAAAUUGAUUUAUCAAUUCUAUUCAAUCUGAUGUCCGGACCGGCCUGUUUAUAUUUAUACAGUUAUAAAACUUGCAUUACUUAAUUUCUCUUUUUUGUUCUCUAGUCUACAGGUGUAGAUUUUGAAAGCUCACUUGUCAAGCUUUAAGAAUUAUUGUUGCAGGUGUGGAAACUGCUGCUCAUGACUUUAACGAAAUGCAUGAAGAAAACAUUUUCACAGGGAUGAUUUGUACGAGUUAUGAAUAUGAUUGUAAUGGAAGCUUGUUGCAACCGAGCCCAUGUGAUUCUAAAGGCAGAGUACUGGGAAAAUACUGAACAUCUAAAUAUUGACUGUUCAGUUUAGCUUUGUGUUAUUAUGUGAAAUUAUUUCUCCAAUUUUACCAUAAAUCAUGCCCACGUUGUACUGUAAUUUAAAUCCACUAGGUGGCAACGCUGCAGAGAACAUUGUACUCUUUGUCAACUACGUUUCUAACUUUUUUUAUUAAUAUUAUGAUUUCCCCACAGUUACACAAUAUUCUAAAUGUAAAAGUGAUUGCUAAAUAGCUUCUAAAUUCACUUAAAAAUUCUGUGGGGUAGGAAGAUAGUAAAGCAUCUAGGUUUAAAGGGCUAGUACACCCAAAAAUAAAGAUUAUUUCAUCUGUUGAUUAUGUCUUCUUUUUAACACAAAAGAAGAUAAUUUGAAGAAUGUUGGUAACCAAACAAUUGACUUUGACUUCAUAGUAUAUAUAUAAAAAAAUAAAAAAUACCAUGGAAGUCAAUGGGUACUGUGUACUGUUUGGUUCCCAACAUACUAAUAUAACUUAUUUCGUGUUCAAAUGGAGAAAGAAGCUCAUACAGAUUUGGAAAAGGGGCGAGUGAAUAAAUAAGGAAAAUUGUCAUUUUUGGAUGAACUAUCCCUUUAAGCAAUGCUUUGAAAGACAUUUCUUUGACAUUAACAGAGCUUCUUUGCAAACACACAAAUACUGAUGGUCAAAACCUCCAAAUGAAAACAAAUACUGUAUGGCUGCAGAAGCCUGAUGUGCUUAGAUAGUUAGCUCAAUAAAUAAAACCACAUGUUAAGAUGUUUUGAGAACAGUGAUAUAGUGCUAGUAACAUGUAAACAUAAUGUGACGUUUUUUUUUGUUUUUAAAGGACUUUAUAAUUAAGAUACAUAUAAGCAGCAUUACUUUAUAACAGUGUUCCUUAAGACAAAUACAACAUGUGUGCUUUGAUUUGCUACCUGUAGCUUCCAAAUCUAUAAUACAGCAUCUUGAUCUAGUUGGCAAAAUGAUUCUGAACCAGAAAGAAAGAAAAAAAAAACCCAGCUGUAAAGAUAUAUUUCAUAUAUAUUUUAGAAAACAUACAUCAUCUUAAUCUUUAUUUGACUUUCCACCUGUUUUGGCUGGACCCACUGUUGUAGUUAAGAACAUUCUGGAAUGAUUCUGUAGAAAUUCAAAGGCUGCAAAGUCACAGGUUUGUACUUUUUGAAAGAAAGAAGUAUGAUUUAUUACAGAUUGUGCUUAAAAAUGGAAACUGAAACCAUGAAUUUGUGUUAUGCGAAGAAUUUUUACUGUUAUACUGUAUACAUGAUACAUUAUUAACUUAAAGAAUAGUUCACCAAAAAAAAAAAAAUAAAAAAAAAAUAAAUAAAUGAUGAAAAUGUACUCAUUCUUAAGCCUUCCAAAAUGUAGAUGAGUUCGUUUCUUCAUCAGUUUUGGAGAAAUUUAGCAUUUCAUCACUUGCUCACCAAUGGAUGCUCUGCCAUAAAUGGGUGCCGUCAGAAUGAGAGUCCAAACAGCUGAUAAAAAUUCCACAAUAAUCCACAAGUAAUCCACACCACUCCAGUCCAUCAGUUAAUGUCUUGUGAAGAGAAAAGCUGCAAAUCCAUCAAGACAUUUUUAACUUCAAACUGCUUCUGGUUAAAAUACGAGUCCUCUAUCCAUAAUAUUGCUUUCUCCAGUGAAAAAGUCGUCUCAUCUGAAUCAGGAAAGAAAUAUGCACAGUUUACAAACAAAAAUAGUCCAGAACAGCUCUUAGCAAAUAUUUUGGUGGAUUUUGCUAUGAGAGGACAACAGGAGAUGGACUUUUUCACUAAAGGAAGCGUUAUCAUGGAUUAUGGACUAUUUUGAGCAGAGGCACCAGUUUAAAGUUAAAAAGUCUUAUUACUGGAUUACAUGUUUUUUACAAACACGCAGCUUUAAGACAUUAAUUGAUGGACUGAAGUGUUGUGGAGUACUUGUUUUUAUCAGCUGUUUGGACUCUCAUUCUGACGGCACCCAUUCACUGCAAUGUAGUGUUAAUUUUGUUAAUGAGUUUUUCAUUAACAAAAUUAACACUACAUUACGAAAAAUUUUGUUGAUGAGCUUUUUCCCAUGACUAAGACGACAUGAUGAUGAGACAACAAUAAGGUCAAUAAACGGUAACUGUGACGAUAUCAACGUAAUAUCAUUGACGAUAAAAUACAAGAUUAAAAUGUAUUUUAAAAAUAAAAACUAUACCAAAAUUUAUUUUAUUUUUUGUCGAAUAAAAUGAUAUAAAAUAUUACAGCAGACUGUUGUACAUCCCUCUACUAAAUGAGCUUUCGUGUGUGCGGUUGCCAGAUAUCAAGAGUUCAAAUCCGCAAAUCAGAGCUUCUCUGUUGAAAGGAUACAUUUUCUGCCCGGUGUUUUGCUUAAUUUUUGCAAUCUGGCAACCAUGCACUCGCUCUUUAUUACGAAAGCGCCGAUGAUGAUCUGAAAUCAAAGACAAACAAUUAAGCUGAAGUGUAGCGAUUGCAAUGUGCGAUGUUCAGCUUAAAUGAAAGUGUCAUUCAACAGGUCUGUUCUAUCAUCUCGACUAUUUUGUCUGUGAUUGUGGUUGCUGAAUAAAUGGACUUACUGGCUGCUGUUGCUUUAAUAAAGAAACAUUGAUGCAAUUUGGAAUUAUUGGAAUUACUAUCAGGAGUUGUACUGUAUAUAUAUAUAUAUAUAUAUAUAUAUAUAUAUAUAUAUA
Cyprinus carpio carpio is the source of this 3675-nucleotide long non-coding RNA. NCBI's taxonomy places the organism in Eukaryota, Metazoa, Chordata, Actinopteri, Cypriniformes, Cyprinidae. The record is from Ensembl.